This is a long non-coding RNA of Oncorhynchus kisutch (coho salmon), 1429 nucleotides long. RefSeq lists it as uncharacterized. The transcript is spliced from 2 exons. Lineage: Eukaryota; Metazoa; Chordata; Actinopteri; Salmoniformes; Salmonidae. The record is from RefSeq and is a predicted model, not a curated record.
CAAAAUAAUGGGUCACGUUUACCACCACUGAGAGCGCAAGGGCCAUCCCUGGCUAGACAGUCGACUGUGGGACUUUCCUUAUCACGAAAACGCCAAGGAAAAGAUAGGUUAUUGAUAGUGUGAGCACUUACAGAACUACAAGCUCAUCCGUGAUUUCUACAAGUCUGUCAACUCCCUCUGCAGACCUGAAGGAAUGGGGAAAGUGGGAUGGAGUGAUUCAGAAAGAAGGGCAACAGACCCUCACCUCGGACCGAACAGCCAAUCACGGCGCUGAAUUCAGCUCUGUCUGACGUCGACGAUUACACUGCCCCGCAUCUCCCAUAGAAAAUUACAAGGGGAUCUUUGCUGACGUCACCUUGCCAACGCCUGAUUGGCCAGGCCGGAGAUGACUCCCAGCCAAUGGCCGAACGCAGUGGUGAUGUCAUGACGCAUGUUGCCACCAGCUGGACCAAGGGGGUGUGGUCUGUCGUAAACUCGGCUCACCAGUGUUUACUGCAAGUACGGUAGUACGAGAGAGAGCCAGGCUGCAUGGAAGAGUGGCGUGCAGAACCUCUGUAGUACUAUGGCAGUCACAGACAGACAGUAGGACAACGACUACAACGGACUUCUAGCCUAUUCUCAAUAGCACACUGGCAGAUUUUCGGGGAAAAAAAUAUAAUAAUAACAUUUUUGUUCUGGAUGUUUUUCUGCAAUACCUUUGAAAGAUACAUUUGGUUUGAGGUCUUUACCUUUGAUUCUGAUUAAGUGACAGAGAUAUAGAGUAGUCUCCUCUUUUUUUCCAGGCUGUGCAAACCAACAAAGACAGUUACAUAGUAAACAUUACAUCAUCCUUAUUUCUCUUGUAGUAGACAGACAAACAGACUCACGCAGAGACAGACAGCUUGGGCAGAAGCCUCUCACAGCGUCCUCGCUGUCGGUGUCCCCCUGUUGGUGUUCCCUCACAUGCCAUAUGGAGACGAUAAAAAAAAGAUGAAAAUAGUAGAAUCUCUGUUUAUACAAAAUAAUACAUGUUGAUUAAAAAAGACAACACAAAAAUCUGAGACACCAGCAGGUAAAGAGGCAGAUUGUGUUAGCGCGGCGUGUGCCAGUGUAUGAGAGAAGGUGGAAAGGAGCAGGAAGGGAGACACCUAGCGGUAAACAGACAACACUGCAAUGUGAUAUAAUGCCGUAAUCUCUAAAAACGUUAACGUCUGUUUGUCUGUCUGUGUCUCUGUCUUUUGCUGAUUAGUUACUUUCCAUCUCUGGAGAAUGAGUUAACUUUUAGUGCUGCUGUCAGGGAAGCAGUAUUUGGCUAUACGAACUCCACUGCAGACAGAGCAUUCUCUAGCUUUCUUCUUAGUUUCUGGAAAUACCAGGUAGAUUAUAUGAAAAUAUGCAGUAAUGUGUAGUUUGAAUGGAGUUAUAUUAUUACAGAAAGCAAUUGAGACUG